Leopardus geoffroyi (Geoffroy's cat) is the source of this 2047-nucleotide long non-coding RNA. RefSeq lists it as uncharacterized. Lineage: Eukaryota; Metazoa; Chordata; Mammalia; Carnivora; Felidae. The transcript has 8 exons. The record is from RefSeq and is a predicted model, not a curated record.
UGGAGCAUUUUAGAAGCAAGUCUCCGGAUGUCUUUUGGCUUCCCCUUGGAGAUGAGUGUGCACGGCUCGCAGGGCAGCUUUCUGGAACGGGUAGUCAGCACCUGCUUCCCUACAUCCUGUUAGAUCACAGGCCUGGACUCCAGGUUCAGCAUGCGCAUGGACAUCGGCUACGUCUUCGUUCCCCGCAGCUCCACCACACCCACAGUCCCAGCCACUAAAAUGAAUUUCUUGAUGAAGAUUUCCAGGUUUCCUCGAACCUGGCCAGGGUGGGUUUAGGCGUGGACUCACAAGAGGUCCGCGUCGCCUUGGCUGUGGGGGUGGGAGGCUGUGCCGGACAUCCAGUGGUGCCUGUUGAGCUCGCUGAGGGACAGCCUGGCAAACACGCCCUUGCCCCGCUGCCUGCCAACCAGUUCAGCACGCGCAGGGGAUGGAAUCUUCCUCCAAGAAGGAACAGCUCUUCAGUCCUGUCCUGACAGCGCAUGGGCUCCGGAAACAGGGCAGGGCCCGGGCUGACGCUGGGCCUGUCGUCUUCCAGCCUGGCAGACUCCCGCCGUGCACUGCAAUACCGAUCUGUCCUCGUCCUCAGCCUUCUCACAUGCCCAGGCGGCUCGGGUUCCCGGGAGGCACUUUCUGGCACAUUCCAACAGGUGCUCAUACUCCAACCCACCCCAGCCAGCACCACGAGGUGGGGCGUGUAGUCUUUUCUCAGGCGGGAAUUAAGUCCCUCUCCACAGAUCUUUGCUGUAUUUUUGUGGCACUGAGGCAGUGGAGACCAACUGUGUUUUCCGGGUAAGCAGCCUCAGGGGUCACCUCCGGGAGAAGCGGUUCCGGGUCAGGACGCGGUUCGAGGUUCAGGCGUUCGCGCCGACUCUGUGCCUUCCUCUGUGAGCCUGCGUGCGGGACCUCGCCGGACACGCCCGCCGCGUGCGGACCUUUACCAGCCGCAUGCGGUGCUCUCGCCGCCUGGCCGCCACCCGGAAGAGACCUGUGCUUUUGGAGAACCCAGUUGGUAUGCGUGAGAAGCCCUAGCCAUAUGGAGAGGUCAUGUGUUGACGCCAGUCAGUUGCCUCAGUGAAGACCAGCCUUUGAAUCACUACAGCCAUCCCAUGAUACAUUAAGUGAAGAAGCCUCCAGAUGAUUACAGCCUUUAACUAUAUCAGGAAAAACAUUUUGUGCCCUACCUUUAUUGAGAGAUUAUUUUUAAAUGAUUGAAGAAGACAGGGAGAGACUGUACUCCUGAGAUGGGUCUAUUGAUUGCGAGACAGUACCAGGAAGACUUCUGGGGUGCUUGUAUUACUCCAUAUCCUGAUCUGGAGUUGCAAUUACCCCUGGGAAGAAGGCUCCACUGCCCAAGCACACAGCUGUAAUCUUCAGAAGACUACCCUUUGGCCAAACCUGCAUAGAGCUGGAGGUGCCAGGGAAGUUGUGUCUCUCAAAGGGCAGCCUACAUCCAGUGACUGACCGAUGAGGAAGAGUGAAAGCCCAGCUCCUUUUCCUCAAGACAAGCAAAAUGCAGUAUGAUUAGCAACACAGUCAUCUGACAAGUCCCUCAGCCACCAGGACACCCACCAAAGGCUGUGAUGAUGGGGGCAAGGAAUGAUGUUCAGGAAAGGUCUGAAGCACAAGCCUUGCCUGGAAAGGUUAUAAAUGUCAACCAAUUUGAAGAUAUGGAAAAGGAGAGAGAAAAAUGGAACAAAUUUCAGAGAAGAGGCACAGCUGAUGAGAACAGCAUUCUUAUCAAUGAGGUUUUUAAAUAUCAAGUUUCCAUCACACUGAAAGGGAUCAGCUGUGAAUCUGUGGGACGGUUUCUUUCAUACUUGGCAUUUCCUGGCUCCUGACAGUUCCUUGUGAGUGACUACUGGACACCUGGGUUCCAUUUGGGACCCAAGGCUUUACAUCAUCUGUGAACCAGGUGGAGUGAACAGCAGAGCUGGUGUUGGAGGAAUUUGAGAAUAGGUGAAAGAGACUCCACGGAGUUCUCAUUCUCUCAUUGUAGGAAUUCUAGAAAGUUACCUGGUUGCAAUAAAAAUGCCUACUGCUGCCCUUU